Rosa rugosa (rugosa rose) is the source of this 818-nucleotide long non-coding RNA. RefSeq lists it as uncharacterized. Lineage: Eukaryota; Viridiplantae; Streptophyta; Magnoliopsida; Rosales; Rosaceae. The record is from RefSeq and is a predicted model, not a curated record. The transcript is spliced from 6 exons.
CAGUGUAAACUUCACCAAGAGUGCUGCAACGUAGAAUGCCAAAUUUGAGUUAACUGAAACAGGUGGUUACAUGGACCACUGAAGCUAUGUGACGCACUAGGAAUAAGAGGUGCCUACGGGUGUAUGUCAAUAAGGAUAUAGGCAUUGAAAAAGGGAACAUUUACAAUCAUUUUGUAAGUGAUGCAACUGGAGGAGCAACUGUUAUGCAAACAGAGAUAGGUACUCCAGCUGAUCCCUUCCCAGCAAGCAUUGCAUGAUUGGUUCUUAGAGAAAGUGAAAAAGGUUGUUUCUUGCUCUUGUGUUGUUGUAAAAGUGUCACAAGGCACUGUGAUUGCUAGAGGUCCAUGUGGAACUGUAUACCAUGGUCUGUGGGAUGGAUCAGUACUUCUACGCAUCAAUGUUAGCUUCAUGAGUAUUAAAAACUAAAAAGGCCUUAAGGAAAUUGCAAAAGAAUGCUCAAAAGAAGAGAAGGCAUCAUGAUGUGGUUCGAGCUGAAUGGGCAAAUCAUGUUAUACAGUUUGAAUUUUGGUUCUGUUUAAGGUAGAUGAGUAGCACUUUGAACUGUUUUUGUGCAUUCAUAUAUAACUGAUGGAAAGUGUUGAUGAACUUAAAUUAUGCAUGCAGUUGCUCUGUCUAGCUACUCUUUCUUUACCUUAUAGGUUGUUGACUUGGUGCACUAGGUAAAUGAUCGAGAUAAGAUGGUUUUUUGGUUCUCUUGAUCAUAAUGUAACUGUUGGCUAGGUUUAGAGUUGGAACUAUGGAUUGUAUUUUGGAUGAUGUUGAUGCAAUUAAUGAAACGAAGCCAUCAUUUUCAAUGC